Molecule: ribosomal RNA, 378 nt
Filed under: uncultured bacterium
Lineage: Bacteria
Description: bacterial SSU rRNA
Rfam family: Bacterial small subunit ribosomal RNA
Source: RNAcentral
UCUUGCGCAAUGGGCGAAAGCCUGACGCAGCCAUGCCGCGUGAAUGAUGAAGGUCUUAGGAUUGUAAAAUUCUUUCACCGGGGACGAUAAUGACGGUACCCGGAGAAGAAGCCCCGGCUAACUUCGUGCCAGCAGCCGCGGUAAUACGAAGGGGGCUAGCGUUGCCCGGAAUUACUGGGCGUAAAGGGCGCGUAGGCGGACAGUUAAGUCGGGGGUGAAAGCCCGGGGCUCAACCUCGGAAUUGCCUUCGAUACUGGCUGUCUUGAGUACGGGAGUGGUGUGUGGAACUCCGAGUGUAGAGGUGAAAUUCGUAGAUAUUCGGAAGAACACCAGUGGCGAAGGCGACACACUGGCCCGUUACUGACGCUGAGCGCGAAA